UGGGGAGUUAGGAUAUUGACCAUUUUUAAAAUUUUUCUCUCUCUUAUCAAAUUCCUUCUGACAUCAAGUUCUGCUUUUCUCCUCUUCUUGAUGUUUUCUCUGUUUCCUCUUUAUCAAAUUUUUUUUCUUUUUCUCUUAAUUUCUAUUGUAAUUUUUUUUCAUUCAAAUCACAGUAUUUCAAAUUUUUGGUCUCUUCGUGUGGCUUGGUAAGUAGUGGUAGUAAGGUUUUGCUCGAGUUAGGGGUAGUUUGCUAAAGCUGUCCUUA
This 265-nucleotide long non-coding RNA is filed under the name Gossypium raimondii (Peruvian cotton). Its description in RNAcentral is "long non-coding RNA (GRAI_LNC002904)". Lineage: Eukaryota; Viridiplantae; Streptophyta; Magnoliopsida; Malvales; Malvaceae. The record is from RNAcentral.